UAUUGUAAUUUUUGUAUCAUC
RNAcentral lists this non-coding RNA (21 nucleotides) under Caenorhabditis elegans. The record is from RNAcentral. Lineage: Eukaryota; Metazoa; Nematoda; Chromadorea; Rhabditida; Rhabditidae.